UACGUAGGGUGCGAGCGUUGUCCGGAAUUAUCGGGCGUAAAGAGCUUGUAGGCGGUUUGUCGCGUCUGCUGUGAAAAUCCGGGGCUCAACCCCGGACUUGCAGUGGGUACGGGCAGACUAGAGUGUGGUAGGGGAGACUGGAAUUCCUGGUGUAGCGGUGAAAUGCGCAGAUAUCAGGAGGAACACCGAUGGCGAAGGCAGGUCUCUGGGCCACUACUGACGCUGAGAAGCGAAAGCAUGGGGAGCAAACGGG
RNAcentral lists this ribosomal RNA (253 nucleotides) under uncultured bacterium. RNAcentral describes it as "partial 16S ribosomal RNA". It matches the Rfam family "Bacterial small subunit ribosomal RNA", at positions 524 to 776 of the family's 1533-position model. The record is from RNAcentral.